RNAcentral lists this long non-coding RNA (705 nucleotides) under Panax ginseng (ginseng). RNAcentral's name for it is "long non-coding RNA (PGIN_LNC014834)". Lineage: Eukaryota; Viridiplantae; Streptophyta; Magnoliopsida; Apiales; Araliaceae. The record is from RNAcentral.
UUUUUCGCCUCUAGAAAGAUAAUAAUAUCAGAACUUGUCGAUUCUAUUAAAAAAUAUUUAGAUAUUAUUAUAAGGGCUAUAUGUAUAUACACAGUUGUGUAUUACACAAUAAAUUUAUGGCGACGGAUUUUUUGGACUAUAACAACGGCAAACUGUCGCCAUAGCCCAGAAUAACUAUGACGACAAGUGAAACCAUCGAUAUAGUUCAAAAAAUCGUCGUCAUAGCUUAAUAUAUAAUACACAAUUGUGUACAUUAAUACAUUCAUUUUUACCUUAUUAUAAACUAAUAAUAAUUUUACUAAAGUACUACUAUAUUCUCAUCUAAUAAUCCGUAUCGCAAUACCAAACAAACCGAAAAUUGAAGGGACCACAAACCCAAAAAUAUCAUGCAAAUAAUUGAUUAUCUCUUCCUUCCCUUUGACACGGACAAAUAUAAUUGCUUUUUGGAAUCCAAUCUAAAAAACAGUAGCCUUUUAAGUAUAGUUUAUACUAUUGGAGAGGAUAGUUGUUGACGUGAGCAAGAGAUGAGAUAGAAAAAUGUGUUGGGCGUGUUGGUACUGGUCAACAUUCAGGUGGCCUGGAUUUGACUUAUCCGUGGCAUCUUCAAUUUUCCGAUGGCCGGAUUUCGCCUGGACAAGGCAGAGCUUCCAGUGGUGGUUCGAUUUGUCGAUCGUUGACGAUGUNNNNNNNNNNNNNNNNNNNNNN